UUUACGCCAUUGAAUUUUUUAAACAUGUUUGACCAUUCGUCUUAUUCAAAAAAUUUAAGUAACUAUUAAUUCUUUUUCUAUCAUUUGAUUGAUUGUUAAAUAUACUUUUAUGUAUGCAUAUAGUUUUACAUAUUUCACAAAAGUUUUUGAAUAAGACGAAUGGUCAAACAUGUUUAAAAAAGUCAACGGCAUCAAAUAUU
This 200-nucleotide microRNA precursor is filed under the name Oryza barthii. RNAcentral's name for it is "MIR812 microRNA precursor family". It matches the Rfam family "MIR812 microRNA precursor family". Lineage: Eukaryota; Viridiplantae; Streptophyta; Magnoliopsida; Poales; Poaceae. The record is from Rfam by way of RNAcentral.